AUACGGAGGGGGUUAGCGUUGUUCGGAAUUACUGGGCGUAAAGCGCACGUAGGCGGACUGGAAAGUUGGUGGUGAAAUCCCGGGGCUCAACCCCGGAACUGCCUCCAAAACUUCCAAUCUAGAGAUCGAGAGAGGUGAGUGGAAUUCCAAGUGUAGAGGUGAAAUUCGUAGAUAUUUGGAGGAACACCAGUGGCGAAGGCGGCUCACUGGCUCGAUACUGACGCUGCGGUGCGAAAGCGUGGGGAGCAAACAGGAUUAGAAACCCCAGUAGUCC
Molecule: ribosomal RNA, 274 nt
Filed under: uncultured bacterium
Lineage: Bacteria
Description: partial 16S ribosomal RNA
Rfam family: Bacterial small subunit ribosomal RNA
Source: RNAcentral